GGAUGUGAGGGUGACAUCUGUUAUCCCACUGAUCGCCAGGCUUGAAGUGGCUGGUCUGGCUGAUUAGGUGGGUGUCCCCUUCCUCCCCUGCUGCUUCAUGUGUAUCCAUCCUGAUUAGAGGAGGAUAGCCCUUUGGUUAAGGGUAUACAAUAGCUGUGCUCCCCUGCUAAAACAACAUCAAUUCUUUCCUGUGUACUUCCAGAGGUCAGAAAACUUAAACUAAUUUUGUGCCACUAAUGUAAAAAUGUAGGAAUGCCGGCUCAUGUAUGGAGGUCUUGAGGGGGAAUUUGUUUCUCUACUGUUU
Mesocricetus auratus (golden hamster) is the source of this 304-nucleotide unclassified non-coding RNA. Its record names the gene 7SK. It matches the Rfam family "7SK RNA". From Rfam's summary of the family: 7SK was discovered as an abundant small nuclear RNA in the mid-70s but a possible function has only recently been suggested. Two independent studies have found that 7SK RNA binds the CDK9/cyclin T complex (known as elongation factor P-TEFb). The record is from Ensembl. Lineage: Eukaryota; Metazoa; Chordata; Mammalia; Rodentia; Cricetidae.